This 253-nucleotide ribosomal RNA is filed under the name uncultured bacterium. RNAcentral describes it as "partial 16S ribosomal RNA". It matches the Rfam family "Bacterial small subunit ribosomal RNA", at positions 524 to 776 of the family's 1533-position model. The record is from RNAcentral.
UACGUAGGGUGCAAGCGUUGUCCGGAAUUAUUGGGCGUAAAGAGCUCGUAGGCGGUCUGUCGCGUCUGCUGUGAAAACUCAGGGCUUAACCCUGAGCUUGCAGUGGGUACGGGCAGACUAGAGUGCGGUAGGGGAGACUGGAAUUCCUGGUGUAGCGGUGAAAUGCGCAGAUAUCAGAAGGAACAUCAGUGGCGAAAGCGACUUCCUGGACCAGAACUGACGAUCAGGCACGAAAGCGUGGGGAGCAAACAGG